RNAcentral lists this ribosomal RNA (494 nucleotides) under Aspergillus caespitosus. RNAcentral's name for it is "eukaryotic LSU rRNA". The stretch from base 123 to 276 matches the Rfam family "5.8S ribosomal RNA". The record is from RNAcentral. Lineage: Eukaryota; Fungi; Ascomycota; Eurotiomycetes; Eurotiales; Aspergillaceae.
CCCGUGAAUACCUUACCACUGUUGCUUCGGCGAGGAGCCCCUUCCGGGGGGCGAGUCGCCGGGGACCACAUGAACUUCUUGAUUGUAGAGUUGCGUCUGAGCCUGAAAUAUAAAUCAGUCAAAACUUUCAACAAUGGAUCUCUUGGUUCCGGCAUCGAUGAAGAACGCAGCGAACUGCGAUAAGUAAUGUGAAUUGCAGAAUUCAGUGAAUCAUCGAGUCUUUGAACGCACAUUGCGCCCCCUGGCAUUCCGGGGGGCAUGCCUGUCCGAGCGUCAUUGCUGCCCUUCAAGCCCGGCUUGUGUGUUGGGUCGUCGUCCCCUCCGGGGGACGGGCCCGAAAGGCAGCGGCGGCACCGCGUCCGGUCCUCGAGCGUAUGGGGCUUUGUCACCCGCUCGAUAAGGACCGGCCGGGCGCCAGCCGGCGUCUCCAACCUUUUUUUCUCAGGUUGACCUCGGAUCAGGUAGGGAUACCCGCUGAACUUAAGCAUAUCAAU